AUGUUGCGUGGUUCAUUACCGUCAAAUCUACAGCACAUGGCAGCCAUCAGUAUUGGUCUGGAGAGAAAUAAUCUUACAGGUCUAGUUCCACGGCUAUUCCCUAUAAAUAUAACAAGCUUAGAUCUCUCUUCAAACUCUUUCUCAGGGUCAUUGCCAGCAGAGCUAAAAGCACCACAAAUUUUUAUGUUGUCAUUGGCAGAUAAUAAAAUUACAGGCACCAUUCCAUCAUCUAUGUGCCAAUUGACUAGUCUAGCACGGUUGGACUUGUCAAGAAACAAAUUAACAGGAGAUGUUGUGCAGUGCUGGAAGGAGUCAGAUAACAAUUCUUCAGUGUCCAGAGCAAACUCUGCAGAUCAAUUCGGUUCUCGGAUGUAUAGUCUAGACUUGAGCAACAAUGGUCUCUCAGGUGAAUUCCCUAAAUUUCUUCAGAGUGCCUCACAAUUGAUGUUCCUUGAUCUUUCAUAUAAUAGGUUCUUUGGAAUAUUGCCAAAGUGGUUACCAGAAAAAAUGCCACGAUUGGAAAUAUUGACGGUGAGAUCAAACAUGUUCAGUGGUCGUAUUCCCAAGAACCUUACUUGCCUUGAAAAUCUUUAUUAUUUGGACAUGGCCCAUAACAAUAUAUCAGGAAGCAUACCAUGGUUGCUAUCAAACUUGAAAGCAAUGAGAGUCAUAUAUAAGGAUGCAAAUGACUAUGUUUAUGCGGAUAGCAUGCCAGUAAUCACAAAAGGCCAAACACGUGAUUAUACUGUGGGCGUCUUCAGCCAAGUUGUGAAUGUUGAUCUGUCAUGUAACAGUUUAACAGGACAUAUUCCAGAGCAGAUAAGUUUGCUCAUUGGGCUCACCAGUUUGGACUUAUCAAGUAAUCAGUUGACUAGCAAAAUCCCAAACAAGAUUGGUGAUCUGAAGCAGUUGCAGUCCCUCGACUUAUCCAACAACAAGUUUUCUGGUGAAAUCCCGUCAGGUUUGUCGGCUCUAACCUAUCUGAGCUACUUGAACUUGUCAUACAACAACUUAUCAGGCCCGAUACCAUCCGGGCCGCAGCUGCAAACUCUCGGCAACCAGAUUGAUAUCUACAUCGGCAACCCCGGUCUCUGCGGUCACCCUAUCUCCAAGAACUGCUCUACCAGUACUACUGACGCAGAGCAAAGUGUCGUCCAUGAAGAUGCAGAUCAUAUCGCGUAUCUCUACCUUGGGAUGAGCAUAGGGUUUGUGGUCGGCCUUUGGACGGUGUUUUGCACCAUGUUACUGAGGAGAACCUGGGCGAUUUCCUACUUCCAGUUUGUUGACAAGCUGUAUGACGAGGUUUAUGUAAGGGUGGCUAUAACUCGGGCUCGCCUGAUGAAGAAGACCCGCAAAGAUGCAGCGUGA
RNAcentral lists this ribosomal RNA (1368 nucleotides) under Triticum aestivum (bread wheat). RNAcentral describes it as "partial small subunit ribosomal RNA". Lineage: Eukaryota; Viridiplantae; Streptophyta; Magnoliopsida; Poales; Poaceae. The record is from RNAcentral.